GGGGUUGUGGCUCAGAGGUAGAGCACUUGCCUAGUAUGCAUGAGGCACUGGGUUCAAUCCUCAGCACCACA
This 71-nucleotide transfer RNA is filed under the name Marmota monax (woodchuck). Its description in RNAcentral is "tRNA.Thr". It matches the Rfam family "tRNA". Rfam says of the family: Transfer RNA (tRNA) molecules are approximately 80 nucleotides in length. Their secondary structure includes four short double-helical elements and three loops (D, anti-codon, and T loops). Further hydrogen bonds mediate the characteristic L-shaped molecular structure. tRNAs have two regions of fundamental functional importance: the anti-codon, which is responsible for specific mRNA codon recognition, and the 3' end, to which the tRNAs corresponding amino acid is attached (by aminoacyl-tRNA synthetases). tRNAs cope with the degeneracy of the genetic code in two manners: having more than one tRNA (with a specific anti-codon) for a particular amino acid; and 'wobble' base-pairing, i.e. permitting non-standard base-pairing at the 3rd anti-codon position. Lineage: Eukaryota; Metazoa; Chordata; Mammalia; Rodentia; Sciuridae. The record is from RNAcentral.